CCUACGGGGCGCAGCAGUGAGGAAUAUUGGUCAAUGGGCGGAAGCCUGAACCAGCCAAGUCGCGUGAGGGAAUAAGGCCCUACGGGUCGUAACCCUCUUUUGCCGGGGAGCAAGGGCGGGGACGUGUCCCGGCCCGGAGAGUACCCGGAGAAAAAGCAUCGGCUAACUCCGUGCCAGCAGCCGCGGUAAUACGGAGGAUGCGAGCGUUAUCCGGAUUUAUUGGGUUUAAAGGGUGCGCAGGCGGUCUGUUAAGUCAGCGGUCAAAGCCCGGGGCUCAACCCCGGCCCGCCGUUGAAACUGGCAGG
Molecule: ribosomal RNA, 305 nt
Filed under: uncultured bacterium
Lineage: Bacteria
Description: bacterial SSU rRNA
Rfam family: Bacterial small subunit ribosomal RNA
Source: RNAcentral